UAAAAAAAGGUAAGCUACUAAGAGCGAAUGGUGGAUGCCUUGACUGGUAAAGGCGAUGAAGGACGUACUAGACUGCGAUAAGCUACGGGGAGCUGUCAAGAAGCUUUGAUCCGUAGAUUUCCGAAUGGGGCAACCCAAUGUAUAGAGAUAUACAUUACCUAUAUAGGAGCGAACGAGGGGAAUUGAAACAUCUUAGUACCCUCAGGAAAAGAAAUCAAUAGAGAUUGCGUCAGUAGCGGCGAGCGAAAGCGCAAGAGGGCAAACCCAGUGCUUGCACUGGGGGUUGUAGGACUGCAAUAUGCAAGAGGUAAGUUUAGCAGAACAUUCUGGAAAGUAUAACCAUAGAGGGUGAUAGUCCCGUAUGCGAAAAACAAACCUUAGCUAGCAGUAUCCUGAGUAGGGCGGGACACGAGGAAUCCUGUCUGAAUCCGGGUCGACCACGAUCCAACCCUAAAUACUAAUACCAGAUCGAUAGUGCACAAGUACCGUGAGGGAAAGGUGAAAAGAACUGAGGUGAUCAGAGUGAAAUAGAACCUGAAACCAUUUGCUUACAAUCAUUCAGAGCCCUAUGUAGCAAUACAGGGUGAUGGACUGCCUUUUGCAUAAUGAGCCUGCGAGUUGUGGUGUCUGGCAAGGUUAAGCAAACGCGAAGCCGUAGCGAAAGCGAGUCUGAAUAGGGCGCUUAGUCAGAUGCUGCAGACCCGAAACGAAGUGAUCUAUCCAUGAGCAAGUUGAAGCUAGUGUAAGAACUAGUGGAGGACUGAACCCAUAGGCGUUGAAAAGCCCCGGGAUGACUUGUGGAUAGGGGUGAAAGGCCAAUCAAACUUCGUGAUAGCUGGUUCUCUCCGAAAUAUAUUUAGGUAUAGCGUUGUGUCGUAAUAUAAGGGGGUAGAGCACUGAAUGGGCUAGGGCAUACACCAAUGUACCAAACCCUAUCAAACUCCGAAUACCUUAUAUGUAAUCACAGCAGUCAGGCGGCGAGUGAUAAAAUCCGUCGUCAAGAGGGAAACAACCCAGACUACCAGCUAAGGUCCCUAAGUCUUACUUAAGUGGAAAACGAUGUGAAGUUACUUAAACAACCAGGAGGUUGGCUUAGAAGCAGCCAUCCUUUAAAGAAAGCGUAAUAGCUCACUGGUCUAGUGAUUUUGCGCGGAAAAUAUAACGGGGCUAAAGUAAGUACCGAAGCUGUAGACUU
This 1195-nucleotide ribosomal RNA is filed under the name Campylobacter jejuni. RNAcentral's name for it is "bacterial LSU rRNA". It matches the Rfam family "Bacterial large subunit ribosomal RNA", at positions 1 to 1209 of the family's 2925-position model. Lineage: Bacteria; Pseudomonadati; Campylobacterota; Epsilonproteobacteria; Campylobacterales; Campylobacteraceae. The record is from RNAcentral.